UACGGAGGGUGCAAGCGUUGCUCGGAAUCACUGGGCGUAAAGGGCGCGUAGGUGGCUUCUCAAGCGCGCGGUGAAAGCCCGGGGCUCAACCCCGGGUCGGCCGUGCGGACUGGGAGGCUCGAGCACUGUAGGGGCGGGUGGAAUUCCGGGUGUAGCGGUGGAAUGCGUAGAGAUCCGGAAGAACACCGGUGGCGAAGGCGGCCCGCUGGGCAGGAAGGCUCGCAAGAGCCGGCUGACACUGAGGCGCGACAGCGUGGGGAGCAAACAGG
RNAcentral lists this ribosomal RNA (269 nucleotides) under uncultured bacterium. Its description in RNAcentral is "partial 16S ribosomal RNA". It matches the Rfam family "Bacterial small subunit ribosomal RNA", at positions 524 to 776 of the family's 1533-position model. The record is from RNAcentral.